AAAAAAGAUAAGCUAAUCAAGCUAUUAGGUUCAUACCCUAAAGAUAAAGAUUUUAUUCUUUUCUUUUU
RNAcentral lists this transfer RNA (68 nucleotides) under Lebiini sp. 2 ACP-2013. RNAcentral's name for it is "tRNA-Met". It matches the Rfam family "tRNA". Rfam says of the family: Transfer RNA (tRNA) molecules are approximately 80 nucleotides in length. The record is from RNAcentral. Lineage: Eukaryota; Metazoa; Arthropoda; Insecta; Coleoptera; Carabidae.